AUUGAACGCUGGCGGCAGGCCUAACACAUGCAAGUCGAGCGGAUGAAGGGAGCUUGCUCCUGGAUUCAGCGGCGGACGGGUGAGUAAUGCCUAGGAAUCUGCCUGGUAGUGGGGGAUAACGUCCGGAAACGGGCGCUAAUACCGCAUACGUCCUGAGGGAGAAAGUGGGGGAUCUUCGGACCUCACGCUAUCAGAUGAGCCUAGGUCGGAUUAGCUAGUUGGUGGGGUAAAGGCCUACCAAGGCGACGAUCCGUAACUGGUCUGAGAGGAUGAUCAGUCACACUGGAACUGAGACACGGUCCAGACUCCUACGGGAGGCAGCAGUGGGGAAUAUUGGACAAUGGGCGCAAGCCUGAUCCAGCCAUACCGCGUGGGUGAAGAAGGCCUUCGGGUUGUAAAGCCCUUUUGUUGGGAAAGAAAAGCAGCAGGUUAAUACCCCGCUGUUCUGACGGUACCCAAAGAAUAAGCACCGGCUAACUUCGUG
Molecule: ribosomal RNA, 484 nt
Filed under: uncultured bacterium
Lineage: Bacteria
Description: partial 16S ribosomal RNA
Rfam family: Bacterial small subunit ribosomal RNA
Source: RNAcentral